This 253-nucleotide ribosomal RNA is filed under the name uncultured bacterium. Its description in RNAcentral is "partial 16S ribosomal RNA". It matches the Rfam family "Bacterial small subunit ribosomal RNA", at positions 524 to 776 of the family's 1533-position model. The record is from RNAcentral.
UACGUAGGGGGCAAGCGUUAUCCGGAAUCAUUGGGCGUAAAGCGCGUGUAGGCGGUUCCGUAAGUCCGCUCUGAAAGCCCAGGGCUCAACCCUGGGAGGCGGGUGGAUACUACGGAACUGGAGUACGGAAGAGGAGAUUGGAAUUCCUGGUGUAGCGGUGAAAUGCGCAGAUAUCAGGAGGAACACCGGUGGCGAAGGCGCCACUCUGGGCCGGAACUGACGCUGAGGAGCGAAAGCGUGGGUAGUAAACAGG